UACGUAGGUGGCAAGCGUUGUCCGGAUUUAUUGGGCGUAAAGCGAGCGCAGGCGGUUCCUUAAGUCUGAUGUGAAAGCCCACGGCUCAACCGUGGAAGGUCAUUGGAAACUGGGGAACUUGAGUGCAGAAGAGGAGAGUGGAAUCCCAUGUGUAGCGGUGAAAUGCGUAGAUAUAUGGAGGAACACCAGUGGCGAAGGCGACUCUCUGGUCUGUAACUGACGCUGAGGCUCGAAAGCGUGGGGAGCAAACAGGAUUAGA
This 259-nucleotide ribosomal RNA is filed under the name uncultured prokaryote. RNAcentral describes it as "partial 16S ribosomal RNA". It matches the Rfam family "Bacterial small subunit ribosomal RNA", at positions 524 to 782 of the family's 1533-position model. The record is from RNAcentral.